GAAAUGCGAUAAGUAAUGUGAAUUGCAGAAUUCAGUGAAUCAUCGAAUCUUUGAACGCACCUUGCGCUCCUUGGUAUUCCGAGGAGCAUGCCUGUUUGAGUGUCAUGAAUUUCUCAACCUCACCAGCUUUGUUAUGAAGCCGUGUGUAGGCUUGGAUGUGGGGGUUGCAGGUCCACACUACCCGUGGUCUGCUCCUCUGAAAUGUAUUAGUGGGUUAGGCCCCCUAAUCUAUUGGUGUGAUAAUUAUCUACGCCGUGGAUUGGGAUGGCUAAUAUAGACCUGCUUCUAACCGUCCUUCACCGGACAACUCUUGACAAUUUUGACCCCAAAUCAGGUAAGACUACCCGCUGAACUUAAGC
RNAcentral lists this unclassified non-coding RNA (359 nucleotides) under plant metagenome. RNAcentral describes it as "partial contains 5.8S ribosomal RNA, internal transcribed spacer 2, and large subunit ribosomal RNA". The stretch from base 1 to 105 matches the Rfam family "5.8S ribosomal RNA", at positions 50 to 154 of the family's 154-position model. The record is from RNAcentral.